GAAACAUUCUUGGAAAAUGUAUGUCGAGAAGAACAAAACAGACCUGAAAAAUUAAAUUUUCAAGCUCAUGAGCUGGAGAGAGCAAACAAGAUUGUUAAAUUGUCCUGCUCUUGGCACACAGCAGUUAAUCUGGGUGAGAAGUAGAGCUGUAGGAGUCUCGUGUCCGACCUCGCCCUGGAGCCUUGCAGCCAUGGCACUGCCAACACCCACAAGCACCGCUAUUGCAUCCAUGGUGAAACGUGAAGAACUGCGGUAACCAUUAUCAGGGGUAUAGUAAAAUAGAAGAUAUGCUCUCUGCCCCCAAGAAACCACAAUCCAAUUGUCAAAAAAUGAAGAAAUGGCAGUGUGGACUUCACCAAAUGUGGUGGCAGGAAGCAAUAACAGUCAGGCGUGGAGCUGCUCCAGCUGAUGUCAUCUUCGUUCCCUCUACUGCACAUUUGCAAGGUUCACAGCUUUCCCAUUCAGCCGCAGCGGGGGGUGCGGGGCCCCAUGUUCAUCCCCAUUCCAGAGAUGGGAGAGCCACAGCUCCGUGCAAGGGGAUGGUGGGCAGGCUCCAGGGACAACCGGCUACCCAGCACUGGUAGGAACGUCCUCUGCAGGGACAGUAUGGGAUGAGAAGGGAACUGAAAAGUCAUUAAUAAGGUAAAAUGCCCAGCAUGGUGCCUGGAGCUUGUCAGCCACCAAAUUAUUAACAUCAUGUAAAAAGAUCCAAGUAGUGGGUGUUGCCCAUUAUAGACAGGGAGAGAAGCGGAGU
Molecule: long non-coding RNA, 754 nt
Filed under: Ursus maritimus (polar bear)
Lineage: Eukaryota; Metazoa; Chordata; Mammalia; Carnivora; Ursidae
Description: lncRNA (ENSUMAG00000004692.1)
Source: RNAcentral